GUCCUAUUGUAUUACUUAAUAGGUCUGGCCUGCCCAGUGAUAAUUUUAACGGCCGCGGUAUAUUGACCGUGCAAAGGUAGCAUAAUCAUUAGUCUUUUAAUAGAAGGCUGGAAUGAAAGGUUUAACGAGAAAUUAACUGUCUCAAUUACAAACUUGAAUUUAUCUUUUGAGUCAAAAGACUCAAAUAUUAUUGGUGGACGAGAAGACCCUAUAGAGCUUAACAGUUUUAUUUUUAUAAUUAUUUAGUAAUAUGAUUUACUUAUACUUGUAAAAUUGUUUUGUUGGGGUGACAAUAAAUAUAUAUUUAACUUUUAUUAUAAUAUAAACAUUAAUUUAUGAUUUUUGGAUCCAGAAAUUUUGAUCAAUAGAUUAAGUUACC
RNAcentral lists this ribosomal RNA (379 nucleotides) under Ischnura pumilio. RNAcentral describes it as "partial large subunit ribosomal RNA". The stretch from base 1 to 184 matches the Rfam family "Archaeal large subunit ribosomal RNA", at positions 1908 to 2143 of the family's 2987-position model. Lineage: Eukaryota; Metazoa; Arthropoda; Insecta; Odonata; Coenagrionidae. The record is from RNAcentral.